Triticum dicoccoides is the source of this 3955-nucleotide long non-coding RNA. RefSeq lists it as uncharacterized. The transcript has 9 exons. NCBI's taxonomy places the organism in Eukaryota, Viridiplantae, Streptophyta, Magnoliopsida, Poales, Poaceae. The record is from RefSeq and is a predicted model, not a curated record.
CACACAUUCGAUGCCUCUCCUUCCAGCCACACAACGACCACCACUUUGCCUCUUUCUCUUCCCCAUGGAGGCACCUCCCCACGUUCUGGAUGCGCCAUGAUUCUGGAUCGGGUGCAAGUCGCCGCAAUGGGAGAGCAGGUCUGGUGUGGUUUCAUGGUGGGUGUUGAUGAGCAGGGGGAGGCUGGGGAGGGAGCAUGCCAUCACUGCCUACCACUGCUCACCUGUCGUCGUGCCCCAUCCCCAACCUAGGCUGCACAUCUUCUGCUUUGCCAUCUCUCUCCCCUAUCUUUUACCCCUUGAUUUCCCUUGUUCUUUGAUAAUCUGAUUUUAUUUUCUUGAUUUAUGUGUGCAGAUUGGAUGAAGAAUACAAGAGGAAGGACCUUUCGGAAGACUGAAGAACAAGUUUAUAGCCUCAGCGAGGAGCACAUGACAUCGACGCCAUCACUGAGCUCAAGAUGGUGCCUUGCAAUGAUCAUUGCACUUCUCUUCAAUACAUCAAUGUCACUUCCAAAGCGGAGUCCCUCCUAGAGGAUAGUCUCUAUUAUCAGAAAGGCGUUUGUCCAGCUUGCUCUGCAUAAUACAACAAUGCCUUUAUGAGUAUCUUGUGCCGGUUAUCAGAGACAACAGCACAAUCUUGGAGUACAUGGACAUCAACGCUGACGGUGUCGGCAGCAAUGACCAGAGGUGUGCGAUUUGACCAGCGCAGCAUUCUUGUGUUUUCAUUUAAACAUUCAGGCAAGAAUCUGGUCCUGUAUAUUUAGACAUUAUUGUUUCUGUAUAUGCAUACACAUAGAAGAGAUUAAAUAUGUCUGAAACAUGUGAAAGCAUGCAUAUUUUUACUGGGCUCGAAAUAUAUCUGACCUCUACUGCUCAAAAUAUCUAGGAGGAAUUUUAAAUGCCCAUUUUGAUCAAUUUUUUAGUUUAAUAAAGGUCGUCCCUGAUUCUCAGUCAGUAUUUAGUUCAAUAAAGGCCAUCCCUAUCUUUUGUUUAAUAGGUACAAUGAGCUUUUCCAGUCGUUCUCAUCUUGCUUAGAGUGAAUCUUUGUCUUUAUGCACACAACUUUUAUGAUUUCAGUCUUUAGCUAGAUGAAGCUUUUUUGGCCAGCAAUGAAAACUGCUUAAAAGAUAACUGAUUUGAGAAGGCUUGUUCAUGCUGGAUUGCUAAGGCCUAUGCUCCAGCCUGCAGGUCUGAGCUGAAUGAAAGCAUGGACUUCAACAUUUAAGUGACGAGGCAGCUAAGUGUACGUGAUUCAAAUUCAGCACAUUAAGUCUGAGUAGAUAUUUUGGUAUUUCUUAUUGUAAAGUUGGUGAGUUGCAACUGUAAGAAGGUAAUUUUUCGCCUUUUCACAUGUUCAAGCAUAUGUGUGUAUAUUAAAAGUUCUUUUCUUUAGAGGUGCCUUUUGAGAUACAAGGCAUGGUUUAUGUAAAUUUUAGUUUCCUUCAGUGACAUAUUAAUAGAUAUGAAUGGGUUGUCACCCUAAUUUUGAAAUCAAUUUGUGUAUUUGAGAUGCCAGAUUUUGGAUUAGUAGUUGUUCAAAGCACUAGAUGUUUGCCCAAGAUAAUGUUUGUUAUUAUUUAAUAUUUCUGAAUCUCUCCUGGAAUUCUAACCCUGCAUUAAUAGCAGGGUGUGCCGAUUGAUAAAUAGUGUUGUGUUUGGUCCGUGUCUAGCAGUUGGCAUAUUGACCUAUAUUUUUCCUAUAAUAGUGUCCCUAAUUUGCAUUCAGCUGAUAUUAGAUUUGGCUAAAAGAUAAAGAGACCUAUUUAGGAUUGUUGGUUGCAAACUUACCUCUUUCUAUUGUGCUGUUGGCUUUUAGGACAGGUCCAAUGCACAAAGGUAAAUUUUUCCCAUAUUAGGAGGCAAUCAGUGCAUGACUUAGUUUAAGAAUAUAUAGGUGUUCAUGCUCAUGGUUAUGCUGCCCGUUGGCACUAAAAUGUCUAGAACAUCAUCGACCUACCUAUCUGUGCUGUUGAGCUGGAUACAAUAGUUAAUGUAGCAUGUAAGUGAAUUAUUAACGGACUAAUGAAUUUGUUCAUAACAAUUGAUGUUUCUACCUGGAACUUCUGAUUUUAACAAAAUGAUUGUUCUUUACCCAUGAUUAUUACCAUUUGAUCGUAAGAUAGUUCCCAUAUUCUAAUAGGUAAUUACAUAAUUUUAGUUCACUCAUAUACCCUGAUUGUAUAUAUCAGCAAUUACUUUAUUUUCGACUACACAAAUUGAGCUUUAUAUUUCCUUUCCGGUGUGCCAAAACCUCAUGCACUGCACCAUGCUUCUGUUGGCUUGGGUUUUCGCUGCUUCUUUUGUGUGUUUGUGCUCAAAUUUUGGAAGAGGCGGGCUCAAGUGUCAUUGUAGUAACAAAUCAUUGGUGACCGAGCGGAGUUUGAUAGGUUGCAAAUGCAUGUUCAUUUGAAAUUCAUAAAUAAAUUCUGAAUGUGAGCAACUGCAAGGCAAUUGAAUACUAAUAAUUGAUGCAGUCUGAUGUGGUGUGCUCGCUGUUCUUUUUUGGUAGGAGAGAAAAAAUUGGUGUCUUUGACACACUUGGGAUUGACGGAUCGUUCAUGCCAUGGUUGGAUGUGAAUGGGGCAGUGUACAUCCAAAUUUUGUUUGGCUGAUCAGAAUAUUUGUCCGUUAGGCUGUCUUAAUGCAAUCCCAUUCGCAUAAAUUUUGCAAACAUCAGCAAAGAUUUCAGCGGCAGGGAGUGUUUGCCGUAGUGGAAACGAAGCAAAAAUUCGAUGGAGCUCAGGAUUUUGCUAUUACCUUGCUAAUAGCUUUGUGAGCGAGGCCGCGCGCAUUCAAGGUACUUAAAAAAUAUAUGUACAAGUUAAGCAGAGGCAACUUUGAGGAUUUCACCCGACAGACGGGUUUUCAUACGUGGAUAUUGGUGCGUGUGUAAGUAUCUCGCUUGCGGUCAACUUAAGAUGUGUGUGCGUGUGUGCUGGUCCGGCCUGUACAAUGUAUCAUGGGAUGAUGAUCUGGCUGUCAGCAACUGGAUAACGUGCCGCUCCGAGGAACUAGGCGCUCUAAGAGGACAAUGCAUGAGCUUGCGAUGGGAGGCUUUUCCUACAGAUCGUCGCACCUGCAGUACUCAUGAUGGAUGUCCGGGACGUGUUUGCAAGGCACAAGCCAAGUGUCAGCAUGGAGGACCUGGAGGCAGUACAAAAGGUUCAUUGCAGAGUUUGGCAACCAGGGCUGGUCAUGAAGAUACACAGAGAGAGUACUCCACUGGUACUGAAGAAAUACUGCACGAUAUGGUUGGUUGUUGUUCCUUGGAAGAAGUAGGAUUCGCCGCUGAUAAUACCUGUAAACAAACAAAUCCACCGGCGAAAAGUGCUUCAUAUGGAAACUAAACAAGUUGUUGAGGAAACCGCUGCUACAGCUGUUGAAGAUGCAAAUAAUGUUCUGUGUGACCAAGCUAAACGCAAAAGGAUUAAUACUGGUGCCAAGGCCGCCAGCUCUGCAAAGAAAGCAAGGCAGUAGCUCUUCCAUGCCCUAGGUUGGGUGUGUACAUACAGGUAUUUUUGUGUGUUCCACUUGCUUCUCAAGCUCGGUCUGCCGCUAGGAGGUUGUGUUGCUGAAGGGAGCUUCUUCACUAUAUCGCAUCGCAGCAGUGGUCUGGCCAUCGGGUCUCAAGAUCGUACCUUUGGCACACUUUUGGGCAUGCACCUCAUGUAUUUUGUGCAUGUUUGCAAGGCAAGACUUUGACACUCGGAGAACUAUGUCAAGCCACUGUCAAUACAAAUCCCCUUAUUUACGUCCCUGAACAAAUAGACUCUUAUGCGAUGUAAAUAUCACCAUUGGCCCAGCGGGCGAUGACCCUACUUGAUAUUCAUCGCUGCGUACCUUACUCACGUAAGCUAAAUGACCAAAGCUUUCUAUAUGAUGGACCUCUGCCUAUGUAGCUUUGCUUCGUAAAAGCAAUGUAAAUAAGCUAUCAUGAACUGAUCUCAUACCUUUCUUA